CAUCAUCACCAUCACCCUGAUUAGUCUUCGGGCGAUGUGUGCUGGAAGACAAAUAAGCUCUUCCAGCGGCGCUGAACGCACAGUUUAAAAAGCCCCCGGAAGAGCUUCUUCCGGGGGCUUUUU
This 123-nucleotide small RNA is filed under the name insect gut metagenome. RNAcentral describes it as "Histidine operon leader". It matches the Rfam family "Histidine operon leader". Rfam says of the family: At least 6 amino acid operons are known to be regulated by attenuation. In each a leader sequence of 150-200 bp is found upstream of the first gene in the operon. The record is from RNAcentral.